CGAGUGCCCCAAGCGUUAUCCGGAAUCAUUGGGCGUAAAGGGUGUGUAGGUGGUCUCUUUAGUCUUCUGUUAAAACCUCGGGCUCAACCCGAGAUCUGCAGAGGAAACGGAGAGACUCGAGGGUGCGAGAGGUGAAUGGAACUCAUGGAGUAGGGGUGAAAUCCGUUGAUAUCAGUGGGGAACACCAAAGCGAAGGCAAUUCACUGGCGCAUUUCUGACACUGAAACACGAAAGCGUGGGUAGCGAACGGGAUUAGAUACCCCGGUAGUCCACGCCCUAAACGUUGUCGACUAGCUUUGGGAGGAAUCGACCCCUUCUGAGGCGUAGCUAACGCGUUAAGUCGACCGCCUGGGUAGUACGGCCGCAAGGCUA
Molecule: ribosomal RNA, 372 nt
Filed under: uncultured organism
Description: bacterial SSU rRNA
Rfam family: Bacterial small subunit ribosomal RNA
Source: RNAcentral